AGUGAACGCUGGCGGUAGGCCUAACACAUGCAAGUCGAACGGCAGCACAGGAGAGCUUGCCCUCUGGGUGGCGAGUGGCGGACGGGUGAGGAAUACAUCGGAAUCUACUUUUUCGUGGGGGAUAACGUAGGGAAACUUACGCUAAUACCGCAUACGACCUACGGGUGAAAGCAGGGGACCUUCGGGCCUUGCGCGAUUGAAUGAGCCGAUGUCGGAUUAGCUAGUUGGCGGGGUAAAGGCCCACCAAGGCGACGAUCCGUAGCUGGUCUGGGAGGAUGAUCAGCCACACUGGAACUGGGAAACGGUCCAGACUCCUACGGGAGGCAGCAGUGGGGAAUAUUGGACAAUGGGCGCAAGCCUGAUCCAGCCAUACCGCGUGGGUGAAGAAGGCCUUCGGGUUGUAAAGCCCUUUUGUUGGGAAAGAAAUCCAGCUGGCUAAUACCCGGUUGGGAUGACGGUACCCAAAGAAUAAGCACCGGCUAACUUCGUGCCAGCCGCCGCGGUAA
This 506-nucleotide ribosomal RNA is filed under the name uncultured bacterium. RNAcentral's name for it is "partial 16S ribosomal RNA". It matches the Rfam family "Bacterial small subunit ribosomal RNA", at positions 29 to 523 of the family's 1533-position model. The record is from RNAcentral.